RNAcentral lists this ribosomal RNA (2890 nucleotides) under Aeromonas hydrophila. RNAcentral describes it as "23S ribosomal RNA". It matches the Rfam family "Bacterial large subunit ribosomal RNA". The record is from RNAcentral. Lineage: Bacteria; Pseudomonadati; Pseudomonadota; Gammaproteobacteria; Aeromonadales; Aeromonadaceae.
GGUUAAGUGACUAAGCGUACAUGGUGGAUGCCUUGGCAGUCAGAGGCGAUGAAGGACGUACUAACCUGCGAUAAGCCGUGAGCAGUCGGUAAGAGACAUUACGACUCACGGAUUUCCGAAUGGGGAAACCCACUUAGCAUAAGCUAGGUAUCGCUGCGUGAAUACAUAGCGUAGCGAGGCGAACCGGGAGAACUGAAACAUCUAAGUACCCCGAGGAAAAGAAAUCAACCGAGAUUCCCUCAGUAGCGGCGAGCGAACGGGGAUUAGCCCUUAAGCAUCUUGGAAGUUAGUGGAACGGUCCUGGAAAGGCCGGCGAUACAGGGUGAUAGCCCCGUACACGAAAACAACCUUGAUGUGAAAUCGAGUAGGGCGGGACACGUGACAUCCUGUCUGAAUAUGGGGGGACCAUCCUCCAAGGCUAAAUACUCCUGACUGACCGAUAGUGAACCAGUACCGUGAGGGAAAGGCGAAAAGAACCCCUGUGAGGGGAGUGAAAUAGAACCUGAAACCGUGUACGUACAAGCAGUGGGAGCCCUUCGGGGUGACUGCGUACCUUUUGUAUAAUGGGUCAGCGACUUACAUUUUGUAGCGAGGUUAACCGUAUAGGGGAGCCGUAGGGAAACCGAGUCUUAACUGGGCGUCUAGUUGCAAGGUGUAGACCCGAAACCGGGUGAUCUAGCCAUGGGCAGGUUGAAGGUUGAGUAACAUCAACUGGAGGACCGAACCCACUAACGUUGCAAAGUUAGGGGAUGACCUGUGGCUGGGGGUGAAAGGCCAAUCAAACUCGGAGAUAGCUGGUUCUCCCCGAAAGCUAUUUAGGUAGCGCCUCGGACGAAUACUACUGGGGGUAGAGCACUGUUUGGGCUAGGGGGUCAUCCCGACUUACCAACCCCAUGCAAACUCCGAAUACCAGUAAGUAAUAUCCGGGAGACACACGGCGGGUGCUAACGUCCGUCGUGAAGAGGGAAACAACCCAGACCGCCGGCUAAGGUCCCAAAGUUCUGGUUAAGUGGGAAACGAUGUGGGAAGGCUCAGACAGCUAGGAUGUUGGCUUAGAAGCAGCCAUCAUUUAAAGAAAGCGUAAUAGCUCACUAGUCGAGUCGGCCUGCGCGGAAGAUGUAACGGGGCUCAAACCAGGCACCGAAGCCGCGGAUUCACACUUAUGUGUGAGUGGUAGGGGAGCGUUCUGUAAGUCUGCGAAGGUGUGUCGAGAGGCAUGCUGGAGAUAUCAGAAGUGCGAAUGCUGACGUAAGUAACGAUAAAGGGGGUGAAAAGCCUCCUCGCCGGAAGACCAAGGGUUCCUGUCCAACGUUAAUCGGGGCAGGGUGAGUCGACCCCUAAGGCGAGGCCGAAAGGCGUAGUCGAUGGGAAGCAGGUUAAUAUUCCUGCACGACUUGUAAUUGCGAUGGGGGGACGGAGAAGGCUAGGUGGGCCAGGCGACGGUUGUCCUGGUGAAAGUGCGUAGGUGGUGUUUCUAGGCAAAUCCGGAGACACAACACUGAGACACGAGACGAACACACUACGGUGUGGAAGCCAUUGAUGCCCUGCUUCCAGGAAAAGCCUCUAAGCUUCAGAUUACAAGUCAUCGUACCCCAAACCGACACAGGUGGUCGGGUAGAGAAUACCAAGGCGCUUGAGAGAACUCGGGUGAAGGAACUAGGCAAAAUAGAACCGUAACUUCGGGAGAAGGUUCGCUCUUGACAGUGAAGUCCCUUGCGGAUGGAGCAGUUGGGAGUCGCAGUGACCAGAUGGCUGGGACUGUUUAUCAAAAACACAGCACUCUGCAAACACGAAAGUGGACGUAUAGGGUGUGACACCUGCCCGGUGCCGGAAGGUUAAUUGAUGGGGUUAGCGCAAGCGAAGCUCUUGAUCGAAGCCCCGGUAAACGGCGGCCGUAACUAUAACGGUCCUAAGGUAGCGAAAUUCCUUGUCGGGUAAGUUCCGACCUGCACGAAUGGUGUAACCAUGGCCAUGCUGUCUCCACCCGAGACUCAGUGAAAUCGAAUUCGCCGUGAAGAUGCGGUGUACCCGCGGCUAGACGGAAAGACCCCGUGAACCUUUACUACAGCUUGGCACUGAACAUUGAACCUACAUGUGUAGGAUAGGUGGGAGGCUUUGAAGGCGUGACGCCAGUUGCGCUGGAGCCGUCCUUGAAAUACCACCCUUGUAUGUUUGAUGUUCUAACGCAGGCCCGUGAAUCCGGGUCGCGGACAGUGCCUGGUGGGUAGUUUGACUGGGGCGGUCUCCUCCCAAAGAGUAACGGAGGAGCACGAAGGUUGGCUAAUCCUGGUCGGACAUCAGGAGGUUAGUGCAAUGGCAUAAGCCAGCUUAACUGCGAGACGGACAGGUCGAGCAGGUACGAAAGUAGGUCAUAGUGAUCCGGUGGUUCUGAAUGGAAGGGCCAUCGCUCAACGGAUAAAAGGUACUCCGGGGAUAACAGGCUGAUACCGCCCAAGAGUUCAUAUCGACGGCGGUGUUUGGCACCUCGAUGUCGGCUCAUCACAUCCUGGGGCUGAAGUCGGUCCCAAGGGUAUGGCUGUUCGCCAUUUAAAGUGGUACGCGAGCUGGGUUCAGAACGUCGUGAGACAGUUCGGUCCCUAUCUGCCGUGGGCGUUGGAUGAUUGAAGGGAGUUGCUCCUAGUACGAGAGGACCGGAGUGAACGAACCUCUGGUGUUCGGGUUGUCACGCCAGUGGCACUGCCCGGUAGCUAAGUUCGGAAUCGAUAACCGCUGAAAGCAUCUAAGCGGGAAGCGAGCCCUGAGAUGAGUCAUCCCUGACCCCUUGAGGGUCCUAAAGGGCCGUUGGAGACCACAACGUUGAUAGGUGGGGUGUGUAAGCGCGGCGACGUGUUGAGCUAACCCAUACUAAUUACCCGUGAGGCUUAACCAU